GAUGAACGCUGGCGGCGUGCAUCAUACAUGCAAGUAGAGCGAACAAACAAAGAGAAUGCUAAUAAGAAGAUAAAAAAAAAAAAGAAAAAAAAAAGAGGAAAAAAUAAAUAUCACACUAGGAUAACUUCGGGAAACCGGAGCUAAUACCGGAUAAUAUAUUGAACCGCAUGGUUCAAUAGUGAAAGACGGUUUUGCUGUCACUUAUAGAUGGAUCCGCGCCGCAUUAGCUAGUUGGUAAGGUAACGGCUUACCAAGGCUACGAUGCGUAGCCGACCUGAGAGGGUGAUCGGCCACACUGGAACUGAGACACGGUCCAGACUCCUACGGGAGGCAGCAGUAGGGAAUCUUCCGCAAUGGGCGAAAGCCUGACGGAGCAACGCCGCGUGAGUGAUGAAGGUCUUCGGAUCGUAAAACUCCGUUAUUAGGGAAGAACAAAUGUGUAAGUAACUAUGCACGUCUUGACGGUACCUAAUCAGAAAGCCACGGCUAACUACGUG
This 497-nucleotide ribosomal RNA is filed under the name uncultured bacterium. Its description in RNAcentral is "partial 16S ribosomal RNA". It matches the Rfam family "Bacterial small subunit ribosomal RNA", at positions 28 to 507 of the family's 1533-position model. The record is from RNAcentral.